RNAcentral lists this ribosomal RNA (254 nucleotides) under uncultured bacterium. Its description in RNAcentral is "partial 16S ribosomal RNA". It matches the Rfam family "Bacterial small subunit ribosomal RNA", at positions 524 to 776 of the family's 1533-position model. The record is from RNAcentral.
GACGUAGGGGGCGAGCGUUAUCCGGAUUCACUGGGCGUAAAGGGCGCGCGGGCGGCUAUGUAAGUCCGGCGUGAAAUCCCAUGGCUUAACUGUGGAACUGCGUCGGAUACUGCAUUGGCUUGAGGGCGGUAGAGGCUUCUGGAACUAGCGGUGUAGCGGUGAAAUGCGCAGAUAUCGCUAGGAACGCCGGUGGCGAAGGCGGGAAGCUGGGCCGAUCCUGACGCUGAGGCGCGAAAGCUAGGGGAGCGAACCGG